Molecule: ribosomal RNA, 466 nt
Filed under: uncultured bacterium
Lineage: Bacteria
Description: partial 16S ribosomal RNA
Rfam family: Bacterial small subunit ribosomal RNA
Source: RNAcentral
GAUGAACGCUGGCGGCGUGCUUAACACAUGCAAGUCGAACGAUGAAGCCCAGCUUGCUGGGUGGAUUAGUGGCGAACGGGUGAGUAACACGUGAGUAACCUGCCCUUAACUCUGGGAUAAGCCUGGGAAACUAGGUCUAAUACCGGAUAGGAGCGCCUACCGCAUGGUGGGCGUUGGAAAGAUUUAUCGGUUUUGGAUGGACUCGCGGCCUAUCAGCUUGUUGGUGAGGUAAUGGCUCACCAAGGCGACGACGGGUAGCCGGCCUGAGAGGGUGACCGGCCACACUGGGACUGAGACACGGCCCAGACUCCUACGGGAGGCAGCAGUGGGGAAUAUUGCACAAUGGGCGCAAGCCUGAUGCAGCGACGCCGCGUGAGGGAUGACGGCCUUCGGGUUGUAAACCUCUUUCAGUAGGGAAGAAGCGAAAGUGACGGUACCUGCAGAAGAAGCACCGGCUAACUACGUG